Molecule: ribosomal RNA, 324 nt
Filed under: uncultured eukaryote
Lineage: Eukaryota
Description: partial 18S ribosomal RNA
Rfam family: Eukaryotic small subunit ribosomal RNA
Source: RNAcentral
CCCUUAGAUGUUCUGGGCCGCACGCGCGCUACACUGAUGCAUUCAACGAGUUUCUUCCUGGUCCGAGAGGAAUGGGUAACCUUUUGAAAGUGCAUCGUGAUAGGGAUAGACUAUUGCAAUUAUUGGUCUUCAAUGAGGAAUUCCCAGUAGACGUAGUUCAUCAGACUGCAUCGAUUACGUCCCUGCCCUUUGUACACACCGCCCGUCGCUCCUACCGAUUGAAUGCUCAGGUGAGCCAUUCGGACUUUCAUCAUGCUGGUUUCCAGUUUUGAUGAAGGAAAGUCUUGCGAACCUUAUCAUUUAGAGGAAGGAGAAGUCGUAACA